Long non-coding RNA from Solanum stenotomum, 1020 nucleotides. RefSeq lists it as uncharacterized. The transcript has 5 exons. NCBI's taxonomy places the organism in Eukaryota, Viridiplantae, Streptophyta, Magnoliopsida, Solanales, Solanaceae. The record is from RefSeq and is a predicted model, not a curated record.
AAAAAUCUUAAUUCCACCACUAGUAUUACGAAUAAUGUUAGCGUGGCAGAGCCAUGGGUUGAUUACGAAUUCGGCCCGAAUGUUUAGUAUUGGGAACAAGUUAUAGCGUGAUUAGAAUUCCAUUAAAUUCAAAUUCUGCUCCCGCCUGGUCUGUUGUUCACUUUCAGUUUUCAAAGAAAAAAUUGGAGUUGCAGAUUGCAUAAGGUGUUUGAUAAAUUGCCCGAGAGAGAAACUCAAACCACAGCUAAGCUUGAUUUUGACAACUUUUUUAUAUGUAUGUACGUGCAAUUUCAGGCAUGGAAGAUCUGAAGUGCGGGCGUUUCUGCUUUUUCGGUCAUUCAGUUUCAUCUAUCGAUCGAGAAAACUGUGGUAGCUUCUCAUACUGCUGUUUUAAGUGGGAAUUCAGUAGAGGCGAAGCUAUGAUUUCAACUUGAUGGAUUCUGAAUUUAAUAUUUGUAUAUAUUUGAGGCUGAAUCCGCAUGUGGACUAUUAGCUCUGCUUCUGGUGGGAAGGACCUUUUCUAUGUGGUGUUGAUAUGGUCACUGAUUAGCUUUUGCAUUGCUAAAACAAGAUGAUUUUCGAAUGUGCAGCUCCACCAAGCAAAUUGGACAGGAAAUGGAUGAAGAGUUGCAAGAAGUGAAGAAAUCACUCAUUUUUCCAAGCCUAGAUAUGGAUGCAAGAGGUAGAAUGGAGACGGUAGACACUACGACCAGCAUUACAGCGUGUUUACAUGACAAGAGCAUCAACAUAUAAAGAUGCACUUAAAGGUUUCAUGGUGGGAUAUCAAGAAGGUAUUCAACAGUCAUGGAGAAAAAACGAGGAUGCUAAAUUGCACAAGGACACUUCUGCAGCCAAAGAACAAUCUUGGCCUCCGAAGUAAAAGUUUAUGUAUUGGGGAAAUGGGGGAAGGAGAUUACAUCGCAAAUGGUCAUGUUCAACUCAUUGAGGCUCUUGUUUGUAAAAGUGAUUUGGCUUGACAUCAAUUGAACCUCAACGUGUAAGGUCAGGAUCAAAUACAUA